GGAGGAUAUAGCUCAGUGGUAGAGUGCAUGCUUAGCAUGCAUGAGGUCCUGGGUUCAAUUCCCAGUACCUCCA
Molecule: transfer RNA, 73 nt
Filed under: Vicugna pacos (alpaca)
Lineage: Eukaryota; Metazoa; Chordata; Mammalia; Artiodactyla; Camelidae
Description: tRNA-Ala (AGC) (tRNA-Ala-AGC-96-1)
Rfam family: tRNA
About the family: Transfer RNA (tRNA) molecules are approximately 80 nucleotides in length. Their secondary structure includes four short double-helical elements and three loops (D, anti-codon, and T loops).
Source: RNAcentral